RNAcentral lists this ribosomal RNA (595 nucleotides) under uncultured bacterium. RNAcentral's name for it is "bacterial SSU rRNA". It matches the Rfam family "Bacterial small subunit ribosomal RNA", at positions 1 to 648 of the family's 1533-position model. The record is from RNAcentral.
UAGAGUUUGAUCAUGGCUCAGGAUGAACGCUGGCGGCGUGCUUAACACAUGCAAGUCGAACGAACCUUCGGGUUAGUGGCGGACGGGUGAGUAACGCGUGAGAAUCUGCCCUCAGGAGGGGGACAACAGCUGGAAACGGCUGCUAAUACCCCAUAUGCCGCGAGGUGAAAUGAAUUUCGCCUGAGGAUGAGCUCGCGUCUGAUUAGCUAGUUGGUGUAGGUAAUGGCUCACCAAGGCAUCGAUCAGUAGCUGGUCUGAGAGGAUGAUCAGCCACACUGGGACUGAGACACGGCCCAGACUCCUACGGGAGGCAGCAGUGGGGAAUUUUCCGCAAUGGGCGAAAGCCUGACGGAGCAACGCCGCGUGAGGGAUGAAGGCCUCUGGGCUGUAAACCUCUUUUAUCAAGGAAGAAGAUCUGACGGUACUUGAUGAAUAAGCCACGGCUAAUUCCGUGCCAGCAGCCGCGGUAAUACGGGAGUGGCAAGCGUUAUCCGGAAUUAUUGGGCGUAAAGCGUCCGCAGGCGGCCCUUCAAGUCUGCUGUUAAAAAGUGGAGCUUAACUCCAUCAUGGCAGUGGAAACUGUUGGGCUUGAGUG